RNAcentral lists this long non-coding RNA (4761 nucleotides) under Canis lupus familiaris (dog). Its description in RNAcentral is "lncRNA (ENSCAFG00000050960.1)". The record is from RNAcentral. Lineage: Eukaryota; Metazoa; Chordata; Mammalia; Carnivora; Canidae.
UUUUUUUUUUUUUUUUUUUUUUCACUACAGCUUUUUAAUAGAACUUCGAAUCUGGAAUAGUGUUACUUCCAGUUUACUUUUCUUUUUCAAGAUUCCUGGUUAUCAGGGGUUCUUUGUUUUCCAUACAAAUUCUAGGAUUGUUUGUUCUAGUUCUGUGAAAAAUACUGUUGGUGUUUUGAUAUGGAUUGCAUUAACUGUGUAGAUUGCUUUGUAUGGUAUAGACAUUUUAACAAUAUUUCCCUUCCAAUAUAUGGGCAUGGAAUGUCUUUCCAUUUCUUUGUGUCAUCUUCAAUUACUUUCAUAAGUGUUUUACAGUUUUAAGAGUACAGGUAUUUCACUUCUUUAGUUAAAUUUAUUUCUAAGUAUUUUAUUAUUUUUGGUACGGUUGUAACCAGGUUUUCUUAAUCUCUCAUUUAUUUAUUUCCAUGUAAUGUUUUAUUUUUCUUUGAUUUCUUGGUUGACCCAUUCAUUGGUUAGUAGCAAGUUGUUUAACCUCUAUGUAUUGGUGGUCUUUCCAAAUAUUUUCUUAUGGUUGAUUUUUAGUUUUGUAGUGUUAUGGUCAGAAAAGAGGCAUGGUAUGACUUUGAUAUUCUUAAAUUAAUUUUAGGCUUUUUUGUGGCUUAAUAUGUGAUCUAUUCUAGAGAAUGUUCUGUGUGCACUUGAAAUGAAUGUGUAUUCUGAUUUUUUAGGAUGGAAUGUUCUGACUACAUCUGUUAAAUCCAUCUAGUCCAGUGUGUCAUUCAAAGCCACUGUUCACUUGUUGAUUUUCUGUUUGGAUGAUCUGUUCUUUGAUAUAAGUGGGUUGUUAAAGUCCCAUACUAUUAUUAUAUUGUUAUCAAUUAGUUCUUUUAUGGUUGUUAAUGUUUUAUGUAUUUAAGUGCUCCUAUGUUGGGUACAUAGAUAUUUACAAUUGUUAUAUCUUCUUCUUGGAUAAUCUUCUUCAUUAUUAUAUGGUGUCCUUCUUGGUCUCUCAUUAUAGUCUUUGUUACAAAGCCUAUUUUGUCUGAAAAAAAGUAUUGCUACCUGGCUAAAAUUUUUAUUUUAAUAGGAUGAUUGGGAUGGUCUUACUGUUACUUAAACAAAAAUUUUAAAUACAUAAGGAAAUUUGUUAUGCUGAUAUCUAAGUAAUCUGCAUCUGAACAAAGGAAAUAGCUCUGCAAUGGCUUUAGGAUGGAUGGAAACCUGCAUACAGCAUAUGUAUUAGUUUCCUAGUGCUGCUACAACAAAUUACUACAAACUUCAACUAUUACAAUACAGAUUUAUUAUCUGUCAAUUUUGGAGGCUCAAAGUACAAAGUAAGUUUCACUGGGUUGAAAUGAUGGUUUCAACAGGAUUGUGUUCCCUCUGAUGGUUCUAGGGGAGAAUUUGUUUCUCUGCUUUUUCUAGCUUUUAGAGCUGCAUUGCAUAUUAUAUUCCUAGGCUUAUGAUUCUUCCAAGUUAAAAAGUAGUAUGUUGCUUCACUCUUCACAUCACCUUAUUCUCCUGUAAAAACUCUUUCUUUUAGGAACACUUGUGAUUAUAUUUAGGGCUCAUUCAAGUAAUUCAGGAUAACCUUUCAUCUCAAGACCCUUAACUUAAUUUCAUCUACAUAAUCCAUUUUGUCAUCUACAGUAACAUAGCUUCCAGAAAUAAGACCUGGAUGAGGGUCAUUAUUCAAUCUACCAAAGCAGUCAUGAGGAUCUGUAAUGCUAAUAACAAUGAUGAUUUAAAUCAACAAAAAUUGAGCCUGGAAAAGAUUUAUUCCAUAAUUCUAAGUAAUAGAUCUGACAUCAUUUUUAUACCAAAGUUCCUAGUCAAUAAAAAUCCAGAUCUACUUCUGAAAGUCUCUCUCUCUGUAUAUACACACACACAUACACAUAUAUAUGUAUAUAUGUAUUUAUAUGAAGUUAUAUAUAUCUACAUUACUAGAAUAAAUUUAAAUUGUAGGCAUAUGUUAGAAAAAAUAAUAAAGCUAAUAACGUGUUAAAAAUCCAUAACUAUGUAUAUAUACAUACCUAAACUUGAAUAUCUAUAAUGUGUUUCUGUAAACAUGUUCCUUAAGGGGAAACAAACAGGAAAGAAAAUAAAGGCCUAUUAAUAAAGGUUUUCUUGGCCUCCUCUUUUAUAUGAUCUAGUUAUGACUUCCCUACUUUGUAGUAAAUGAUGUAGGUACUAAUAAAAAUUUAACUUGUGUCAAGAACUGUUAGAAGCUAAAGGUAUAGCAUUUCAACAGGUCUUCACACAUUUUUACAUUCUAAAUAGAAAUAUUCCUAUCGAUUUAAUUUGCUAAAGUUCAACAAAAUAUUUAGAAUUGCAUGAUAUUGAUACUUUUGCUUUGACACAUAGAUAUCCAUGUCCACAUGCCCUAAGAUGAUAUAUUCAAAUACAGAUUUUUCCUAGUACUGUUAGGGAGCAAAUUUUUUACAUUGAAGUGAUCACAUUGAAUUGGGUCCUGGUAUGGUCUUUGAACCAUUCUCACACAUGAUUAUUGUCUAUUGCUGUUUUUGAGUGGCCCUUGCAUAAGAAUUUCUAUAUGGAGAGGCUAUCUUCCUUCCCAUUACAUAUUGCCUUAAGAUUGAGAGAAAAUUGAGAGAAAUAUUUGCUAAGCCAUGGCAUCUUGUUGCUUCUGAUUACAAAAAAAUCCUGAGGUCAGAAGGUUUAUAGCUCAUAUAAUAUGAUUAUGUUUUCAUUAUCUGUUGUAUGAUUUUUUACAACUUUAGGAAGCUGUACCUGACAUGUGAAAAUAGAACAAAUAGAUGAACAUAUAUAAUCUUAUAGAAAAGACAAUUUUAAUAUUUCUUUUUCUGGUAACAUUUAUGGAGGGAAUAAUAAAGAAGGAGAAAAAUCACAGUAAAUGAGGAAGUAUACAAGUUGAGCAGUAGAACAAAAUAUUAGGAUCCACUAUCAAUUUUUGCAUAAUGAAUUGAGAAACUGUAUAAUUGGUCAUGAUAAAAGAUUAAUAGAAAGAAGUACCACAGCCCAAUAUCAAUAUUAUUAGAGAGGUUAAAGUAUUGAAUUAACAGAGGUGAAACUUAUUAUUCUCAUCUUUAUGUUUCUAUGGAUGUUUUCCGCUAUAAAAGCAUUUAUGUGGAAAGAAUAGUGUUGUUAUAGAACUAUAAUUUCCAUUUGCUUCAAUAAUGUGAUGUAGCUUUCAAACUGAUAAAGUAUAGCUUCGUGCAGAUUCUUUUUUCUGUAAAUCCUUCAGUUCCUUCCUUCUUCAGGGGUUGGAUCUAUCUUUAUGCUGGCCUUCUUCAGCAUAGCGAGCCACUGCAGGGGUCUACAUGUUUUAUUAUCCAUGUCAAGUGAAGGCAAGAAUGUGUCUCUUUCUCCAACCAUAAAAAUAAGGCCAAGUAUUCACUUUGAUUAAAAAUCCCUGAAAAAAAAAUCACACAUUUGUUUAAACCACUGGUUUUAAAGUCUGCAGGAAAGAUUAUUGAUUCAGAUGGUAAACACACAUCAGUACAGAGAAGUGAGUAAGAACUCAGAUUUUAAAGUCAGACUGCUUCAGACCAAACUCUGAGUCUCUCUUUUAGUAGUUCUGCAAUCUCAUGCAAGUUACUGUACAUAUAUCUGUGUCCUCAUCUGUAAAAUGAGGAUAGUAGUAGUUACCCCAAAGAUUAUAUUAUGCAAACUUUAUGUCAUGAAGACAAAUAUAUUACAUAAAUUUUUUAAUAGCAUAUCUAGGCAUCAAAUCCUGAUUUAUUAUGUAUACUUAUGUUAAUCUGUAUACAUGAAUAAAUAGUAAUUAUGCUAAUACAUCUAUAUGUAUGUUAUAUAGUGUAUGUAAUAUAUGAUACAUUUAUAUGUAUAUGUAGUCAUGAUUUUCUAGACUGUAAAUGAUUUGACUUUUAUUGGUUAAAAAACGUUACUUUUAUAAAACAUAUUUUGUUUUAGUUUCUUCCAUUCAAAUAAAAAGGAAUCAAUUCUAAGAUAAUCAUAAUUAAAGGAUACAAGGGAUUUGAUACUCUUUAUGAAUAUCAGAGUUGUGAAUAAAUUUGAAAAAACCAUAUAUUUUUUAUUUCAAGUUCUCUGAUACAUAUUUUAAAAUCCCAAUUGUUUAUUUGAUUCUAAUGAUGUUAUUUCUAGCUACAGUGGCUGUAUUUUACCACAUGAUUCAUAAGAUAAUAUAACUUGCCUCACUCUCUAGAGUUACUUGAUUUUAGGGUAAGUUAUCAUAAUCUCCUAUAUUUUAAUGCCCCAUUUGUUUUUUCUUAAUUUUUGUUAAUCUGAUUUUGUUCCUGGUUAAUAUGGCAUAUGUCCAUAUGCCAUAUAGUCCAUUUUUAUUAUUUAAAAUAAGAGUAAGGGAUUAGUAAUGUGAAAAAAUCAAUACCUUUUUAGGAUUAUAAAAUUAGUAAGACAAUUUUCAAUAUGCAAUAGGUAAAGAAAAAACAAGCAUGUGAAACAAUGAUAAUAUAUAUAGUUAAAUAAACUCAUAAUAUUGUUCCUAUAGAUGUUAUGUUUCAAGUUAUUAGUCAAAAGAAUUUCGAAGUAAUGAAAAAAACUGAUAGUUUUUAAAAAAUGCAAUGAAAUUUAUAAUAUAUCCUUUUUCUAUAUGUACUUAGUAAAAUUAUUUAAAAAUAAACUUUUAGCUCCAUGCUUUACUUUUUCUGACAGAAAUGUGUCCUAUUAAAAUGGUUAAUACUUUCCACAAUCCCUUUCAUACUAAUAGGAUAUUUGAAAUCAAAGUCUAUUGGGAGCCUGGGUGGCUCAGUCAGUUAAGUAUCUGCCUUUGGCUCAGGUCAUGAUAACAGAGUCCUGGGAUGGAGUCCCACAUGGUACUCU